UACGUAGGGAGCAAGCGUUGUCCGGAAUCAUUGGGCGUAAAGCGCGCGUAGGCGGCCCUGUAAGUCCGUUGUGAAAGUCAAAGGCUCAACCUUUGAAAGCCGAUGGAUACUGCAGGGCUAGAGUCCGGAAGAGGCGAGUGGAAUUCCUGGUGUAGCGGUGGAAUGCGCAGAUAUCAGGAGGAACACCAAUAGCGAAGGCAGCUCGCUGGGACGGUACUGACGCUGAGGCGCGAAAGCCAGGGGAGCAAACGGG
RNAcentral lists this ribosomal RNA (253 nucleotides) under uncultured bacterium. RNAcentral's name for it is "partial 16S ribosomal RNA". It matches the Rfam family "Bacterial small subunit ribosomal RNA", at positions 524 to 776 of the family's 1533-position model. The record is from RNAcentral.